AGCCGAAACUGCCCAAACCGGGCAGUCCGCCGGGAAUGGCCUCCCGGCGCUGAUGAGGCAGGCCAAA
RNAcentral lists this non-coding RNA (67 nucleotides) under Acidobacteriota bacterium. The record is from RNAcentral. Lineage: Bacteria; Pseudomonadati; Acidobacteriota.